RNAcentral lists this small RNA (28 nucleotides) under Bombyx mori (domestic silkworm). Its description in RNAcentral is "ovarian small RNA-23110". Lineage: Eukaryota; Metazoa; Arthropoda; Insecta; Lepidoptera; Bombycidae. The record is from RNAcentral.
UAGUUACAAUUCCCGUGCCUGAUAUAGU